This 492-nucleotide ribosomal RNA is filed under the name uncultured bacterium. RNAcentral describes it as "partial 16S ribosomal RNA". It matches the Rfam family "Bacterial small subunit ribosomal RNA", at positions 29 to 507 of the family's 1533-position model. The record is from RNAcentral.
AGUGAACGCUGGCGGUAGGCCUAACACAUGCAAGUCGAACGGCAGCACAGUAAGAGCUUGCUCUUACGGGUGGCGAGUGGCGGACGGGUGAGGAAUACAUCGGAAUCUACUUUUUCGUGGGGGAUAACGUAGGGAAACUUACGCUAAUACCGCAUACGACCUACGGGUGAAAGCAGGGGAUCUUCGGACCUUGCGCGAUUGAAUGAGCCUAUGUCGGAUUAGCUAGUUGGCGGGGUAAAGGCCCACCAAGGCGACGAUCCGUAGCUGGUCUGAGAGGAUGAUCAGCCACACUGGAACUGAGACACGGUCCAGACUCCUACGGGAGGCAGCAGUGGGGAAUAUUGGACAAAGGGCGCAAGCCUGAUCCAGCCAUACCGCGUGGGUGAAGAAGGCCUUCGGGUUGUAAAGCCCUUUUGUUGGGAAAGAAAAGCAGCAGGUUAAUACCCCGCUGUUCUGACGGUACCCAAAGAAUAAGCACCGGCUAACUUCGUG